GAUGAACGCUGGCGGCGUGCCUAAUACAUGCAAGUCGAGCGAACGGACGAGUAGCUUGCUUCUCUGAUGUUAGCGGCGGACGUGUGAGUAACACGUGUAUAACCUACCUAUAAGACUGGGAUAACUUCGGGAAACCGGAGCUAAUACCGGAUGAUAUUUUGAACCGCAUGGUUCAAAAGUGAAAGACGUUCUUGCUGUCACUUCUAGCUGGAUCCGCGCUGCAUUAGCUAGUUGUUACGGUAACGGCUUACCAAGGCAACGAUGCAUAGCCGACCUGAGAGAGGGAACGGCGACGCCGGAACUGAGACACGGUCCAGAAUCCGACGGGAGGCAGCAGUAGGGAACCUUGCGCAAUGGGCGAAAGGAUGACGGAGCAACGCCGCGUGAGUGAUGAAGGUCUUCGGAUCGGAAAAAUCUGUUAUUAGGGAAGAAAAAAUGUGUAAGGAACGGAGCAAAAAUUGACGGUAACUUAUAAGAAAGCCACGGCUAACUACGUG
RNAcentral lists this ribosomal RNA (497 nucleotides) under uncultured bacterium. RNAcentral's name for it is "partial 16S ribosomal RNA". It matches the Rfam family "Bacterial small subunit ribosomal RNA", at positions 28 to 507 of the family's 1533-position model. The record is from RNAcentral.